UGGGGAAUCUUGCGCAAUGGCCGAAAGGCUGACGCAGCGACGCCGCGUGGAGGAUGACGCCCUUCGGGGUGUAAACUCCUGUUGCCCGGGACGAAUACCCGUUUCGACAGGGGUGACGGUACCGGGUGAGGAAGCACCGGCUAACUCUGUGCCAGCAGCCGCGGUAAUACAGAGGGUGCGAGCGUUGUCCGGAAUCACUGGGCGUAAAGGGCGCGUAGGCGGCUGGGUAAGCGUGUGGUGAAAGCCCGGGGCUCAACCCCGGGUCGGCCAUGCGAACUGUCCAGCUGGAGCGCGGUAGAGGCACAUGGAAUUCCGGGUGUAGCGGUGGAAUGCGUAGAGAUCCGGAAGAACACCGGUGGCGAAGGCGGUGUGCUGGGCCGUGGCUGGCGCUGAGGCGCGACAGCGUGGGGAGCAAACA
Molecule: ribosomal RNA, 418 nt
Filed under: uncultured bacterium
Lineage: Bacteria
Description: bacterial SSU rRNA
Rfam family: Bacterial small subunit ribosomal RNA
Source: RNAcentral